Molecule: ribosomal RNA, 253 nt
Filed under: uncultured bacterium
Lineage: Bacteria
Description: partial 16S ribosomal RNA
Rfam family: Bacterial small subunit ribosomal RNA
Source: RNAcentral
UACGGAGGUUGCAAGCGUUAUCCGGAUUUAUUGGGUUUAAAGGGUGCGUAGGCGGAUUUUUAAGUCAGUGGUGAAAGCCUGUAGCUUAACUAUAGAAAUGCCAUUGAUACUGAUAAUCUUGAGUACAGUUGAGGUAGGCGGAAUGUGCAGUGUAGCGGUGAAAUGCUUAGAUAUUGCACAGAACACCAAUUGCGAAGGCAGCUUACUAAAGUGUAACUGACGCUGAGGCACGAAAGCAUGGGGAGCAAACAGG